RNAcentral lists this ribosomal RNA (439 nucleotides) under uncultured bacterium. Its description in RNAcentral is "partial 16S ribosomal RNA". It matches the Rfam family "Bacterial small subunit ribosomal RNA", at positions 339 to 795 of the family's 1533-position model. The record is from RNAcentral.
CUACGGGUUGCAGCAGUGGGGGAUAUUGCACAAUGGGCGAAAGCCUGAUGCAGCAACGCCGCGUGAAGGAAGACGGAUUUCGGUCUGUAAACUUCUAUCAGCUGGGAAGAUAAUGACGGUACCAGACUAAGAAGCCCCGGCUAACUACGUGCCAGCAGCCGCGGUAAUACGUAGGGGGCAAGCGUUAUCCGGAUUUACUGGGUGUAAAGGGUACGUAGGCGGUUUGUUAAGUCAGAUGUGAAAAUCCGGGGCUCAACCUCGGAACUGCAUUUGAAACUGGCAAACUAGAGUGCAGGAGAGGAAAGCGGAAUUCCUAGUGUAGCGGUGAAACGCGUAGAUAUUAGGAAGAACACCAGUGGCGAAGGCGGCUUUCUGGACUGUAACUGACGCUGAGGUACGAAAGCGUGGGGAGCGAACAGGAUUAGAUACCCUCGUAGUC